CCUACGGGUGGCAGCAGUAGGGAAUCUUUCACAAUGGGCGAAAGCCUGAUGGAGCAACGCCGCGUGCAGGAUGAAGGCCUUCGGGUUGUAAACUGCUUUUAUCAGCGAGAAAUAUGAUGGUAACUUAUGAAUAAGGAUCGGCUAACUACGUGCCAGCAGCCGCGGUCAUACGUAGGAUCCGAGCAUUAUCCGGAGUGACUGGGUGUAAAGAGUUGCGUAGGUGGCAUAAUAAGUAGCUAGUGAAAUCUGGUGGCUCAACCAUUCAGACUAUUAGCUAAACUGUUAAGCUCGAGACCGUUAGGGGUAACUGGAAUUUCUAGUGUAGGAGUGAAAUCCGUAGAUAUUAGAAGGAACACCAAUAGCGUAGGCAGGUUGCUGGGACGGGUCUGACACUAAGGCACGAAAGCGUAGGGAGCAAACGGGAUUAGAUACCCGUGUAGUC
Molecule: ribosomal RNA, 442 nt
Filed under: uncultured bacterium
Lineage: Bacteria
Description: partial 16S ribosomal RNA
Rfam family: Bacterial small subunit ribosomal RNA
Source: RNAcentral